This 467-nucleotide ribosomal RNA is filed under the name uncultured bacterium. Its description in RNAcentral is "partial 16S ribosomal RNA". It matches the Rfam family "Bacterial small subunit ribosomal RNA", at positions 29 to 507 of the family's 1533-position model. The record is from RNAcentral.
ACGAACGCUGGCGGCGUGCUUAACACAUGCAAGUCGAACGGAAAGGCCCUGCUUUUGUGGGGUGCUCGAGUGGCGAACGGGUGAGUAACACGUGAGUAACCUGCCCUUGACUUUGGGAUAACUUCAGGAAACUGGGGCUAAUACCGGAUAGGAGCUCCUGCUGCAUGGUGGGGGUUGGAAAGUUUCGGCGGUUGGGGAUGGACUCGCGGCUUAUCAGCUUGUUGGUGGGGUAGUGGCUUACCAAGGCUUUGACGGGUAGCCGGCCUGAGAGGGUGACCGGCCACAUUGGGACUGAGAUACGGCCCAGACUCCUACGGGAGGCAGCAGUGGGGAAUAUUGCACAAUGGGCGGAAGCCUGGUGCAGCAACGCCGCGUGCGGGAUGACGGCCUUCGGGUUGUAAACCGCUUUCGCCUGUGACGAAGCGUGAGUGACGGUAAUGGGUAAAGAAGCACCGGCUAACUACGUG